RNAcentral lists this ribosomal RNA (234 nucleotides) under Triticum aestivum (bread wheat). RNAcentral describes it as "partial small subunit ribosomal RNA". Lineage: Eukaryota; Viridiplantae; Streptophyta; Magnoliopsida; Poales; Poaceae. The record is from RNAcentral.
AUGCUCCUGGAAGAGGUCCAGCUUGAUGAGCUUACGGAUGAUGGCAUCUCGUGGAAGCACUCGGCCUCUGGCCAGUACACGGCGGCCUCUGCUUACAAGGCACAAUUUUUGGUCCUGGUUCUUUCCCCCAUGGACCAAAUGGUUUGGAAGGCCUGGGCGCCACCGAAAGUGAAGUUUUUUGCUUGGCUUGCGCUUCAGGACAGAAUUUGGAUUGCCGACCGGUUGGCCAAGUGA